CCUACGUGGUGCAGCAGUCGAGAAUCAUUCACAAUGGGGGAAACCCUGAUGGUGCGACGCCGCGUGGGGGAAUGAAGGUCUUCGGAUUGUAAACCCCUGUCAUGUGGGAGCAAAUUAAAAAGCUUGUACCACAAGAGGAAGAGACGGCUAACUCUGUGCCAGCAGCCGUGGUAAUACAGAGGUCUCAAGCGUUGUUCGGAAUCACUGGGCGUAAAGCGUGCGUAGGCUGUUUCGUAAGUCGUGUGUGAAAGGCGCGGGCUCAACCCGCGAACGGCACCUGAUACUGUGAGACUAGAGUGAUGGAGGGGGAACCGGAAUUCUCGGUGUAGCAGUGAAAUGCGUAGAUAUCGAGAGGAACACUCGUGGCGAAGGCGGGUUCCUGGACAUUAACUGACGCUGAGGCACGAAGGCCAGGGGAGCGAAAGGGAUUAGAUACCCCUGUAGUC
This 446-nucleotide ribosomal RNA is filed under the name uncultured bacterium. RNAcentral's name for it is "partial 16S ribosomal RNA". It matches the Rfam family "Bacterial small subunit ribosomal RNA", at positions 338 to 795 of the family's 1533-position model. The record is from RNAcentral.